RNAcentral lists this ribosomal RNA (253 nucleotides) under uncultured bacterium. RNAcentral describes it as "partial 16S ribosomal RNA". It matches the Rfam family "Bacterial small subunit ribosomal RNA", at positions 524 to 776 of the family's 1533-position model. The record is from RNAcentral.
UACGUAGGGCGCAAGCGUUGUCCGGAAUUAUUGGGCGUAAAGAGCUCGUAGGCGGUUUGUCGCGUCUGUCGUGAAAGCCCACGGCUUAACCGUGGGUCUGCGGUGGAUACGGGCAGACUAGAGGCAGGUAGGGGAGAAUGGAAUUCCCGGUGUAGCGGUGAAAUGCGCAGAUAUCGGGAGGAGCACCGGUGGCGAAGGCGGUUCUCUGGGCCUGUACUGACGCUGAGGAGCGAAAGCGUGGGGAGCGAACAGG